Molecule: ribosomal RNA, 378 nt
Filed under: Bacillus cereus
Lineage: Bacteria; Bacillati; Bacillota; Bacilli; Caryophanales; Bacillaceae
Description: bacterial LSU rRNA
Rfam family: Bacterial large subunit ribosomal RNA
Source: RNAcentral
CUGACCGAUAGUGAACCAGUACCGUGAGGGAAAGGCGAAAAGACCCCCGGCGAGGGGAGUGAAAUAGAACCUGAAACCGGAUGCAUACAAACAGUGGGAGCGGACUUGUUCCGUGACUGCGUACCUUUUGUAUAAUGGGUCAGCGACUUACGUUCAGUAGCAAGCUUAACCGAAUAGGGGAGGCGUAGGGAAACCGAGUCCGAAUAGGGCGCUUUAGUUGCUGGGCGUAGACCCGAAACCGAGUGAUCUAUCCAUGGCCAGGAUGAAGGUGCGGUAACACGCACUGGAGGUCCGAACCCACUAGUGUUGCAAAACUAGGGGAUGAGCUGUGGAUAGGGGUGAAAGGCUAAACAAACUCGGAGAUAGCUGGUUCUCCCC